RNAcentral lists this ribosomal RNA (850 nucleotides) under uncultured archaeon. Its description in RNAcentral is "bacterial SSU rRNA". It matches the Rfam family "Archaeal small subunit ribosomal RNA", at positions 18 to 873 of the family's 1478-position model. The record is from RNAcentral.
CGGAGGCUACCGCUAUUGGAGUUCGAUUAAGCCAUGCGAGUCGAGAGUCUUAGGGACUCGGCGUACCGCUCAGUAACACGUGGGUAACCUGCCCUAUGCUGGGGAAUAACCUCGGGAAACUGAGAAUAAUGCCCCAUAGUCCACAAUGCCUGGAACGGUUUGUGGAUCAAAGCUCCGGCGGCAUAGGAUGGGCCUGCGGCGUAUCAGGUUGUAGGGGGUGUAACGUACCCUCUAGCCAUCAACGCGUACGGGUGUUGGGAGACAUADCCCGGAGAUGGAUUCUGAGACACGAAUCCAGACCCUACGGGGUGCAGCAGGCGCGAAAACUUGGCAAUGCGAGAAAUCGUGACCAGGGAACUCCAAGUGGCUGGGGUAAGACCCAGUCUUUUCUUGACUCUUCAAAGGUCUUGGAAUAAGGGGUGGGUAAGGACGGUGCCAGCCGCCGCGGUAAUACCGGCGCCUCAAGUAGUAGUCGAUUUUAUUGGGCCUAAAACGUCCGUAGCCUGUUUGGUACAUUCGUGGGUAAAUCAACCAGCUCAACUGGUUGAAUUCUGCGAGCACGGCCAGACUUGGGACCGGGAGAGGUGUGGGGUACGCUCAGGGUAGGGGUAAAAUCCUGUCAUCCUGAGCGGACCACCUGUUGCGAAGGCGCCACACUAGAACGGAUCCGACGGUCAGGGACGAAGCCUAGGGGCACGAACCGGAUUAGAUACCCGGGUAGUCCUAGGUGUAAACGCUGUGGACUUGGUGUUGGGGACUCUCCGAGAAUCCUCAGUGCCGAAGCGAAGGUGAUAAGUCCACUGCCUGGGGAGUACGGUCGCAAGGCUGAAACUUAAAGGAAUUGGCGGGG